UAUGUUUUUAAUUUACUCAAAGCGGCCGAUUUGUUGGAAAUGUAUGUAUUUAUAUAUUUUAUAAACGUAUGAAAAAUUAGAUUCGUUGAUGGAUUUUAUACCGGUUGUUUGGCGUUUUGGGGAUCACAGCCUUGACAAACAUUCCCAUUGUAUAAUAAGUUAACUAGUGAGAAUCAGAAAUACCAAAAAUCACUACUAAAAUGGAUGAUUAUAACGGGACCAUGAUCAAAAUACAAGAAGUCGAGGACGUAAAACAGUAUUUCAACAAAGUCUUAGUGAAAAAAUCAAAGCUGAAUCACAUUGAAAAAAAACUCAACAGUUCUCGGACAAACUAUAACGAUUAUCAAAAAACAAUUGACGGAGUUAAAGUAUUGUGAAAUAACCAAUAAUCAGAGCUAAGAUGGAUGGUUAUAAACACGGACCAUGAUCAAAAAUAGAAGAAAAUGAGCAGGGGAACAAUAGUUCUCUAUCAAAACUAUAAAGGUUAUCAAGCAACAGUUGACGGAGAAGCAUAUAAUGCUUUCCUGGGUUGAUGAGUGUGCACCAUAUGAUUAAGUUAUGUGCUGAGUUACUCUCCAUUUGGAUUUAAAAGACUUGUUACAUAUAUCGAAGACAAAUUUCUGUAUUUUUUCCAAAUCGUUUGCAAAUCCAAAAGACCAUUUUGUUCAACUUCAAUCACAGACUCGAAACGAUGGUUAACUAGAAAAGAAAUCAUCAACAAAUCUCAUGUAAAGUAAAAUUUAAUUUGUUAUAUGUUAAAUUACCAAUUGUUAGUUCGUUAAUCCGAUGGGGACGGUCAAGCGGACACAACUUUAUUUAAGCGAGCCGCCUACCAUGCAGGAUGCCAAACGACACAGCGUAAUUAUUAAUAUUUUUACGAAUCAACUUUAGUUAUAGAUAAAUUUAAUUCCAAUAGAAUUUAAAGUGAU
Long non-coding RNA from Adelges cooleyi (spruce gall adelgid), 929 nucleotides. RefSeq lists it as uncharacterized. The transcript is spliced from 4 exons. NCBI's taxonomy places the organism in Eukaryota, Metazoa, Arthropoda, Insecta, Hemiptera, Adelgidae. The record is from RefSeq and is a predicted model, not a curated record.